GCAUCAGUGGUUUAGUGGUAAAAUCCAUCGUUGCCAUGCGUAGGAAUCUCCUACAAUGAAAUCGAUGGGCCCCGCGUUCGAUUCGCGGCUGAUGCA
Diatrype stigma is the source of this 96-nucleotide non-coding RNA. The record is from the annotation of a GenBank genome assembly. Lineage: Eukaryota; Fungi; Ascomycota; Sordariomycetes; Xylariales; Diatrypaceae.